RNAcentral lists this small nucleolar RNA (97 nucleotides) under Aotus nancymaae (Ma's night monkey). Its description in RNAcentral is "Small nucleolar RNA SNORA40 (ENSANAG00000001233.1)". It matches the Rfam family "Small nucleolar RNA SNORA40". From Rfam's summary of the family: The snoRNA ACA 40 belongs to the H/ACA family of snoRNAs and guides the pseudouridylation of 28S rRNA subunit at position U4565. NB This family has a high threshold value to exclude a large number of closely related sequences that do not appear to have conserved H and ACA boxes, and may be pseudogenes. Lineage: Eukaryota; Metazoa; Chordata; Mammalia; Primates; Aotidae. The record is from RNAcentral.
UUCUCUUAAUGGAAUAGGUGCAAAAAACUAAUCCUCUGUUUGUACGCCAGAACUCAUUGUUCAGUAUGAGUUUUGAUACAUAUAUGAAGUGGAUAUG